UACGUAGGGUCCGAGCGUUGUCCGGAAUUAUUGGGCGUAAAGGGCUCGUAGGCGGCCAGGUAGGUCUGCUGUGAAAACUCGAGGCUCAACCUCGAGAUGUCGGCGGAAACCAUCUGGCUAGAGUCCGGAAGAGGAGAGUGGAAUUCCCGGUGUAGCGGUGAAAUGCGCAGAUAUCGGGAAGAACACCCGUGGCGAAGGCGGCUCACUGGACCGGAACUGACGCUGAGGCGCGAAAGCGUGGGGAGCGAACAGG
Molecule: ribosomal RNA, 253 nt
Filed under: uncultured bacterium
Lineage: Bacteria
Description: partial 16S ribosomal RNA
Rfam family: Bacterial small subunit ribosomal RNA
Source: RNAcentral